Molecule: ribosomal RNA, 253 nt
Filed under: uncultured bacterium
Lineage: Bacteria
Description: partial 16S ribosomal RNA
Rfam family: Bacterial small subunit ribosomal RNA
Source: RNAcentral
UACGGAGGGGGCUAGCGUUGUUCGGAAUUACUGGGCGUAAAGCGCACGUAGGCGGCAUUGCAAGUCGGAUGUGAAAUCCCUCGGCUUAACCAAGGAAGUGCAUCCGAAACUGCAGUGCUUGAGUACUUAAGAGGAUCGCGGAAUUCCCGGUGUAGAGGUGAAAUUCGUAGAUAUCGGGAGGAACACCAGUGGCGAAGGCGGCGAUCUGGGAAGAUACUGACGCUGAGGUGCGAAAGCGUGGGGAGCAAACAGG